AAACAUCUUGAUAAAUCACGGGUACCCAAUGUAAAAGUGGAUUCUGCACUAAAAUUUUUCUCUUCUGCCUGUUUUUGAUCUGAAAUUAGGUUGAGGCAAUGAACUUGCUUACUGUGUUUUAUCCUCAAUCCUUUUCCAGAGAAAGUUUUAUGUGCCAUUCUCACAUUUACGUUGAAUGAUCUGCAGUUCCCGUACCAUGAGUUUGUAGAUCGCUCAGCAAUGUACAGAGUGGGAUCAUUGUUCUAUGCAAUUUACUUUAUAGUUAGCUUCCCCAUGUUCAUAAGGUGAUGUUAAAAGCAGGAAAAUAUGAGCUUGUUCACAAGUUUUUUGGAAAAAUGAGAAAAAGAGGACUUGCUCCAAAUUCUCACACAUAUAAAGUUCUUGUGACUGCCUGUUGGAGAGAAGGUAAGAUAGACGAUGCUGUUGAAGCAGUUUUGGAUAUGGAACAGAGGGGAGUAGUUGGGUCGGCUAGUGUGGGAAACCUCAGAUGAUGAUUUCAAGGAACAAAGUAAUGCAAUACCGACUAUCCCUCGGCGUCAUGCGGGCGAAAUAGGCCUGAAAAUGUCAGCCCGAGAGAACUUGAUUCUUUUGGUAAAUAUAAUCUCAUCAAGUUCAUGGGUUCGUGUGUCACAUUCUGAUAGAGUCUUUGAAUUGCAUAUCGUACAUUGCUUAAGUUUGUAGGUUGGUUGACUGAAUAUCUUUGACAAGAACUUCGCAUCUCACAUCUAACUUGGUUAUGAUUCAAUCAUGUGUUUGCUGACAUGGAAGCC
Long non-coding RNA from Nymphaea colorata (pocket water lily), 770 nucleotides. RefSeq lists it as uncharacterized. The transcript is spliced from 4 exons. NCBI's taxonomy places the organism in Eukaryota, Viridiplantae, Streptophyta, Magnoliopsida, Nymphaeales, Nymphaeaceae. The record is from RefSeq and is a predicted model, not a curated record.